This 253-nucleotide ribosomal RNA is filed under the name uncultured bacterium. RNAcentral's name for it is "partial 16S ribosomal RNA". It matches the Rfam family "Bacterial small subunit ribosomal RNA", at positions 524 to 776 of the family's 1533-position model. The record is from RNAcentral.
UACGAAGGGGGCUAGCGUUGCUCGGAAUCACUGGGCGUAAAGGGUGCGUAGGCGGGUCUUUAAGUCAGGGGUGAAAUCCUGGAGCUCAACUCCAGAACUGCCUUUGAUACUGAAGAUCUUGAGUCCGGGAGAGGUGAGUGGAACUGCGAGUGUAGAGGUGAAAUUCGUAGAUAUUCGCAAGAACACCAGAGGCGAAGGCGGCUCACUGGCCCGGUACUGACGCUGAGGCACGAAAGCGUGGGGAGCGAACAGG